This 59-nucleotide ribosomal RNA is filed under the name uncultured bacterium. RNAcentral describes it as "partial 16S ribosomal RNA". The record is from RNAcentral.
CUUGCUUUCUCAUCGAGUGGCGAACGGGUGAGUAACCCGUGAGGAACCUGCCUCAAAGA